Cyanistes caeruleus (blue tit) is the source of this 1425-nucleotide long non-coding RNA. RefSeq lists it as uncharacterized. NCBI's taxonomy places the organism in Eukaryota, Metazoa, Chordata, Aves, Passeriformes, Paridae. The record is from RefSeq and is a predicted model, not a curated record.
UGUAAAUGUAUUUCAGAUCAACAUGGAAGAGCAACAAUUUUGGAACCUGAAAUAUCAAAAGAGAGCCGUUUGUGCAGCCAGCCCGCUGCAGUGUGAGGUUGCACAGCCUGAGGAUGCCCCAGCUGCAAGUGCCCUGAUGCUGCUGAAUUUUGGUGUGAACUCCAACUCAACCCAACAGUCAGAAGUUGCCUUUUUAAUUCCCCCUCACAGGAACACAUCCUUUCAUCACUUCUAGAUGGCGACAAUGGAUUUUCAUAUUAAAGAAGCACUUGCUUCCUGAUAGAGAUUAUAUUCAAAAUAUUAAUUUGGGGUAAUUUUAAAAUAUUUAUAUUAUCACACAAUAAUUCAUUAUCCUAUACAUUUACUACUGAUAUCAAAAGACAUAGAAGAGGUUUAUGAAGAUGAAUUAGAAUGGUCCAGCAUAAUCCAGUGACUGAAUUUCCAAGUCCCACUUGAAGGUUAUGGCUGCUGACAUUUAAUCCACCUGAUUUGAUCUGAUGGAAUUUUGCCUUCUCUGCAGCAGCAAACCCCUUUGUAGGUGCAUGUUUUACCCUGUUCUGCAGCAGCACCCCAGGUGAGAUGAGAGGUGGUGACAGCAUUAAAUUGUGUUUGCUGCUGCGUGUGAGAGCUCAGCCCGGAUCAAACGAGGAACUGCAUUUGCUUGGGCAGAUCUUCAGGAGCAGCACUGUGCAAAAGGUGGGGACCUGCCAGAGCUCUGGAAUGAACUUCCCCAAGUUAGUGAAAAGAAAGGAGAGCUUUACAGACAAAAAUGCCCCAAAGGGCUCCUUACUAUCGAGAACUAACAUGAAGUAACUGUUUGAAGCUUCAUCAAUAUGUUUAUCCCAAGCCAGGGCUGAGCAUUUAUUCAUCAUUUGGGCUCCUGCCAUCAAUCAUUCCCAUUCCAAGAGCCAACAGAUGGUGAAUCAGUAACCCCUCAGUGACCUGCUGGCUGGGCAAGGAUGCAGCAGCCCUGACAGGAGCUGACCCACCUGACACUGGCCAGGGCUCCACCGAACCACAAACACCUCCUGAAACAGAGAACCUCCCCAAAAACAGUUUAGGAGCUGUGACAGGAAGCACCUCUUAACUCAGGCACUGUGUAACAGCGCUGGGAAAAAACAGUGAUUAAUGCAAUGAAUUAUUUAUCACCCAGGACGAAUUUUUACAGACAGACACUAAGUUUUAAUUGACAGUGAGCACACAAGAGACAGGCUUGCUUAGGAGGAUGGCCCACAUGUGACACCUCACUGAAGGCUCAGAGGGAAUCAUUUUUAAUGCCAGCUUCGGGGCUGGCUCGUGCACAAGCCAGCAGAGUCGACCCUGAAGCCAAGAGCUACAAGGUAGGAGGGGACCAUCCUGUGCUGCAGCCAUCAGUCACUGAGUGUCUCAGCAGAGAAGAGGGGAUGGAUCUCCUGUGGAGAGCUG